Molecule: long non-coding RNA, 1180 nt
Filed under: Mytilus galloprovincialis (Mediterranean mussel)
Lineage: Eukaryota; Metazoa; Mollusca; Bivalvia; Mytilida; Mytilidae
Source: RNAcentral
ACAUUUUAUAUUGGCAAAUUUCCAAUGAAGUUAUUUACAUAAAGUUAUUGGCAAAUAAAAAUAGAAAAUGACAUCAUAGUCAUGUCUGGCAAAUUUCCAACAUAUAUUAUCAACUACUAUUCUAUACAAAGAAAGAUAACUCUAAUUGAAAAUUAAUUGCUAUUGCACAAUAUUGUGCAAUUAGAUAUUUCUUGCUAUUGUGCAAUACUGUGCAAUUGAAAAUUUUCUUGCUAUUGCACAAUACUUGAUAUGGAAUCCUGAUUUGGACCAACUUGAAAACUGGGCCCAUAAUCAAAAAUCAAAGUACAUAUUUAGAUAAAGCAUAUUAAUAAGCCCAAGAAUUUAAUUUUUGUUAAAAUCAAACUAAGUUUAAUUUUGGACCCUUUGGACCUUAAUGUAGACCAAUUUGAAAACGGGACCAAAAAUUAAGAAUCUACAUACAUAGUUAGAUUCGGCAUAUCAAAGAACCCCAAUUAUUCAAUUUUUGAUGAAAUCACACAAAGUUCAAUUUUAGACCCUUUGGGCCCCUUAUUCCUAAACUGUUGGGACCAAAACUCCCAAAAUCAAACCCAACCUUCCUUUUAUGGUCAUAAACCUUGUGUUUAAAUUUCAUAGAUUUCUAUUUACUUAUACUAAAGUUAUGGUGCAAAAACCAAGAAUAAUGCUUAUUUGGGCCCUUUUUUGGCCCUUAAUUCCUAAACUGUUGGAACCAAAACUCCCAAAAUCAAUCCCAACCUUCCUUUUGUGGUCAUAAACCUUGUGUCAAAAUUUCAUAGAUUUCUAUUAACUUAAACUAACUAAAGUUAUAGUGCGAAAACCAAGAAAAUGCUUAUUUGGGCCCUUUUUUGGCCCCUAAUUCCUAAAAUGUUGGGACCAAAACUCCCAAAAUCAAUACCAACCUUCCUUUUGUGGUCAUAAACCUUGUGAUAAAAUUUCAUAGAUUUCCAUUCACUUUUACUAAAGUUAGAGUGCGAAAACUAAAAGUAUUCGGACGCAGGACGACGACGACGACGACGACGCCAACGUGAUAGCAAUAUACGACGAAAAUUUUUUCAAAUUUUGCGGUCGUAUAAAAAUCAAAGUACAUAUUUAGAUAAAGCAUAUCAAAUAAGUCCAAGAAUUUAAUUUUUGUUAAAAUCAAACUUAGUUUAAUUUUGGACCCUUUGGACCUUAAUGUAGA